UGGCGGACGGGUGAGUAACGCGUGGGUAACCUGCCCUGUACAGGGGGAUAACAGUCAGAAAUGACUGCUAAUACCGCAUAAGACCACAGCACCGCAUGGUGCAGGGGUAAAAACUCCGGUGGUACAGGAUGGACUCGCGUCUGAUUAGCUGGUUGGUGAGGUAACGGCCCACCAAGGCGACGAUCAGUAGCCGACCUGAGAGGGUGACCGGCCACAUUGGGACUGAGACACGGCCCAAACUCCUACGGGAGGCAGCAUG
Molecule: ribosomal RNA, 259 nt
Filed under: uncultured bacterium
Lineage: Bacteria
Description: partial 16S ribosomal RNA
Rfam family: Bacterial small subunit ribosomal RNA
Source: RNAcentral